GACGAACGCUGGCGGCGUGCUUAACACAUGCAAGUCGAACGGAAAGGCCCUGCUUUUGUGGGGUGCUCGAGUGGCGAACGGGCGAGUAACACGUGAGUAACCUGCCCUUGACUUUGGGAUAACUUCAGGAAACUGGGGCUAAUACCGGAUAGGAGCUCCUGCUGCAUGGUGGGGGUUGGAAAGUUUCGGUGGUUGGGGAUGGACUCGCGGCUUAUCAGCUUGUUGGUGGGGUAGUGGCUUACCAAGGCUUUGACGGGUAGCCGGCCUGAGAGGGUGACCGGCCACAUUGGGACUGAGAUACGGCCCAGACUCCUACGGGAGGCAGCAGUGGGGAAUAUUGCACAAUGGGCGGAAGCCUGAUGCAGCAACGCCGCGUGCGGGAUGACGGCCUUCGGGUUGUAAACCGCUUUCGCCUGUGACGAAGCGUGAGUGACGGUAAUGGGUAAAGAAGCACCGGCUAACUACGUG
Molecule: ribosomal RNA, 468 nt
Filed under: uncultured bacterium
Lineage: Bacteria
Description: partial 16S ribosomal RNA
Rfam family: Bacterial small subunit ribosomal RNA
Source: RNAcentral